Long non-coding RNA from Ornithodoros turicata, 103 nucleotides. RefSeq lists it as uncharacterized. The transcript has 3 exons. The record is from RefSeq and is a predicted model, not a curated record. NCBI's taxonomy places the organism in Eukaryota, Metazoa, Arthropoda, Arachnida, Ixodida, Argasidae.
GAUCAAGGGAAAGGCGAUAACAGAAAAAGACUGAUCUUGAUUGCUGGCAGUAUACUAGUACUGCUUGUAAUAGCUGGAGUGGCUGUUACAGCUCUGAAUCCCA